AGACAGCUGAAGUGUUAAACACUGGUGCUCUUUUAUGCUAACACUGGCAGAGUGGGGAUGGAUUGAAAGAAAGAAAGAAAGAAAGAGGAGUCAUGGGGGGUCACGGGGAAGGAUCAGCGGGGCUGAACGUGAGGAGGGAGAGAAGAAUCAGAGCGAGUCAGAGGAAGACCAACGGGUGAAAAUAACAGUGCUGGAAAACUGGAAUUAACACAAGAUGGAUAAAUGAGGAAAGCCAAGAGGAGACGCGCUAGACAGAGAAAGAGAAAGAGAGAGCGGUUUCUACUGGACCUGUGAAGAUUUCAGGGGACACUUCAAAACUGCACUAAACAAUGUUUUUAUGACAUGACUGUGUGUUAUGUGGAAGGUGUAGCUCAGAGUGGUGAACCAACAUGGCAUUUGGUUAAUGUAAUGGAGCAUUUAGCAGCUGAAGAGACCCAUGUUUUCCUCAGGGGUUGGUGGAGACCAAAACUGAGCGAAAAGAACAGCGAAUAUUGGAGCCAAAAUCACCCAAAAAAUGGUUCUGUACUUGAAGUGACAUAUUUGUUUUAAUCAAAGCUGCCGCUGUAGUCACACGUUUAUUUAAUAAAAAGGAUAUCUGGUGUGAGUAGUUAACAGAAUUCGAAAGAAACCUAGAAAUGUCAGGAAAAAAAACAUUUUGAGUAUGUUUUGUAUUUGUUUUAUGAAAAGAAAACAGUGGUCUUGGUGUCUCGCAAUGCGUAUGAUGGUUUAUAUUUUCACACAUCAUAAGCCAAAAAAACAUUUUGAAACCAUUAAACCAAAAGCUUGUCACUGGUGACCUGAAAUCAGAAAAUCUACACCGAGGAUCAACAGGCUUUAACAAACUGCCAGGAAAGGUUGCGAAUGAAAAUGACUUCAGGCUAUAUGAAGGCUGGAGAGAGA
Molecule: long non-coding RNA, 900 nt
Organism: Cyclopterus lumpus (lumpfish)
Lineage: Eukaryota; Metazoa; Chordata; Actinopteri; Perciformes; Cyclopteridae
Exons: 3
Source: RefSeq, a predicted model, not a curated record